CCUACAUGAGAAAUUUCUAAGCACCAUCAUCGACAAUUUCCUUAAAAAAUUUCCCACCCUUUAUAUAGAUGUGAAAAGUCAACAUUAGCUCUCAAACAGUUGAGAUGGUUGGAUUCGCUUCUUUCAAAGUGGGGAUUAUGUUCUUCUAGCGAACAUGUUUGCAAGUGCUAGCCAAUGGAACAAAGUGACAAGAGUGAGAGAGGCAAUGAGAAACAGAGGAGUUCAGAAACCAGAGCCAGGUAAGAAGUUCUGGAAUGUGUUUCAUCUGCAGCCUAUGCGUGAUCAGAAGGUACAAUUCCAAAAAAAAAAUAUCAUCUAAUUUCACAUUAUUUCCAUUGCUUUAUGAUUAUACAAUUCCAAAAAAAUGAGAACCAGAGGUUAACAGUACACAGACUGCUGAAAUUGAUGUUUUACCAAUAGAUCACUACUAUGAUGCCUUAGGAGGGCCUGAAUUGGAUACUCUCAGGGUACAUGGACUUUUCUUUUUUUUUUUUUUUUUGCUGCUACUGUUGUUGUGCUCCAUUUGCUUCGUUCAGCUGACAAGAUAUCAUCUCU
Long non-coding RNA from Magnolia sinica, 555 nucleotides. RefSeq lists it as uncharacterized. The record is from RefSeq and is a predicted model, not a curated record. The transcript has 3 exons. Lineage: Eukaryota; Viridiplantae; Streptophyta; Magnoliopsida; Magnoliales; Magnoliaceae.